Canis lupus familiaris (dog) is the source of this 1127-nucleotide long non-coding RNA. RefSeq lists it as uncharacterized. The transcript is spliced from 4 exons. The record is from RefSeq and is a predicted model, not a curated record. Lineage: Eukaryota; Metazoa; Chordata; Mammalia; Carnivora; Canidae.
UGAGGGCUAUUUUACAUACGGGUCAGACACCGCUAGAGGCCAAGGUCAAGUUGAAAGUUGCAGUCUAGCCAGUGUGAGAACUGCCAUGCAAGCCUGGAGAGGAGAGUCAGGCAGCUGCCGCAAGGCCCACUGCCCAUCUCCCUUCUCUCACUCUUGACUCCUUUUUCCUUUGGAAUUACUCUUUCUUGCUCUGUUUGGUUACCCAGCAUUUCCCCCCCCUGCCUUCGUGGAGAUUUUGGGGCGGUGUUUACAGACUCUUCUUCUCUGCCUCCACCCUGCUCUCUUGGCCCGGGCUUCGAGCCUCUUCUGUUUUCCAGCCAGACCCAGAAAAACGAAAACACAGCUCGGGGAGCCCCCACCAGCCGGCGCCUGUGCCAGCUCACCUCUGGCCAUGGCGCAGCUGCUGGUGCACACAGCGGCCAAGGCCAGCUCCACAUUCCUCCCUCCCUCUCCCCCACUUCACCGGAGACGGAGCCCUGCAUGCAGAGGAAGGGCCCCAGCUCCACGGACUGCCAAAGUCGACUGGGUCCCUCCUCACCAAAAAUGGUGAGACAAGAUUUCAUCUUGUCUGCAGAGAAGCCACAAGCAGGCUCCUCAAAAGAACUCACAGAAACACAGAAAGGCCCAGGGGGAGUCUUUUGCUGCUGGAAACAACUCUGCCUGGGACCCAGAAUCCAGAAAUGGGUGUCCCUGACCCAGGCAGGCAGAGAGAGGGAUUUUCACCAGUGCAAAUGCAAGAGGAAUGUUGGGAACACAGCUUGGCUAAAGAUGAGGAAACUGAGGCAUGGGAUCAGUGUCUUGUGCAAGGUACCACAGCUGGGUGGCAGAGGCUAGGCUCUUUGGGACUCCGGGUCCACAGGUGAACCUGUGCAUUCUAGUCCAGGUAAAGGGGAGCCCAGGUGGGAGGCUUUCGUCAUGGUUCAUAGAAGAAAAAGCUGUGCUCUUGGGACAUUUCUGUACUUCCGGCCACCAUCACGUGCUAGGAAGAUACCCAACAGUGAUGGUAAAUUGGGGGCUUCUUUCCGGGACGGGUCGGAGGGCACCAUCGUUCAGGGGACCGGGGACUGAAGGUGGGUCGGAGGCAAUGAAGACACCGGUGGACAGACGUGCGGACGCUGCCGCGGGAG